AUAAUGGGUCAGCGACUUAUAUUCUGUAGCAAGGUUAACCGAAUAGGGGAGCCGAAGGGAAACCGAGUCUUAACUGGGCGUUAAGUUGCAGGGUAUAGACCCGAAACCCGGUGAUCUAGCCAUGGGCAGGUUGAAGGUUGGGUAACACUAACUGGAGGACCGAACCGACUAAUGUUGAAAAAUUAGCGGAUGACUUGUGGCUGGGGGUGAAAGGCCAAUCAAACCGGGAGAUAGCUGGUUCUCCCCGAAAGCUAUUUAGGUAGCGCCUCGUGAAUUCAUCUCCGGGGGUAGAGCACUGUUUCGGCAAGGGGGUCAUCCCGACUUACCAACCCGAUGCAAACUGCGAAUACCGGAGAAUGUUAUCACGGGAGACACACGGCGGGUGCUAACGUCCGUCGUGAAGAGGGAAACAACCCAGACCGCCAGCUAAGGUCCCAAAGUCAUGGUUAAGUGGGAAACGAUGUGGGAAGGCCCAGACAGCCAGGAUGUUGGCUUAGAAGCAGCCAUCAUUUAAAGAAAGCGUAAUAGCUCACUGGUCGAGUCGGCCUGCGCGGAAGAUGUAACGGGGCUAAACCAUGCACCGAAGCUGCGGCAGCGACGCUUAUGCGUUGUUGGGUAGGGGAGCGUUCUGUAAGCCUGUGAAGGUGUACUGUGAGGUAUGCUGGAGGUAUCAGAAGUGCGAAUGCUGACAUAAGUAACGAUAAAGCGGGUGAAAAGCCCGCUCGCCGGAAGACCAAGGGUUCCUGUCCAACGUUAAUCGGGGCAGGGUGAGUCGACCCCUAAGGCGAGGCCGAAAGGCGUAGUCGAUGGGAAACAGGUUAAUAUUCCUGUACUUGGUGUUACUGCGAAGGGGGGACGGAGAAGGCUAUGUUGGCCGGGCGACGGUUGUCCCGGUUUAAGCGUGUAGGCUGGUUUUCCAGGCAAAUCCGGAAAAUCAAGGCUGA
Molecule: ribosomal RNA, 944 nt
Filed under: Escherichia coli
Lineage: Bacteria; Pseudomonadati; Pseudomonadota; Gammaproteobacteria; Enterobacterales; Enterobacteriaceae
Description: partial 23S ribosomal RNA
Rfam family: Bacterial large subunit ribosomal RNA
Source: RNAcentral